Molecule: ribosomal RNA, 331 nt
Filed under: uncultured Lachnospiraceae bacterium
Lineage: Bacteria; Bacillati; Bacillota; Clostridia; Lachnospirales; Lachnospiraceae
Description: bacterial SSU rRNA
Rfam family: Bacterial small subunit ribosomal RNA
Source: RNAcentral
GAUGAACGCUGGCGGCGUGCCUAACACAUGCAAGUUGAACGAAGCAAUCAAGACAGAAUCCUUCGGGAGGAAGAUUUGAUUGACUGAGUGGCGGACGGGUGAGUAACGCGUGGGUAACCUGCCUUGUACAGGGGGAUAACAGUUAGAAAUGACUGCUAAUACCGCAUAAGCGCACAGUACUGCAUGGUACAGUGUGAAAAACUCCGGUGGUACAAGAUGGACCCGCGUCUGAUUAGCCAGUUGGCAGGGUAACGGCUCACCUAGGCGACGAUCUCUAGCUGGUCUGAGAGGAUGAUCAGCCACAUUGGGACUGAGACACGGCCCAGACUCC